GAAUGGUGGCAUGAUCUUGCACAGUCACCUCUGCAAUGCCCUCUCUCUCCACAAGGCCAGCACACGCCCAUUAACUGCAGCUCUGUUAGCUGCUGGUUGUAGCAACUCGAGCUGGUAAAGCCGAUUGUUUAGGGGUUUUUUUUUCAUACCGAGAGUACUCGGUGACAUCGAAAAAGGGAGAUAUAUGUUAAAAGGGAAUUUAACAUAUCCCUUUAAAAGCGCCGGAUUUCUCUGUUAAGAAAACCCAUGUGAAAACUUUUGGCAACACUGAUAGCAAUGUGACUAUCUCAGUGUUCUUGCAAAGGCUCAUGGGAACACAAUGAAAUGGUGACUCCAAGGCAUCCUAUUGGUUCAUUUGCCACACUGGUUCAGUAUGUAGGUGCUUCACAUUGAUCUAACAAAAUUUUGUUGGAUAAAAUCAUUACUGUGGCAAUAUAUGUCAGUUCAACAUAACAAUGUGUUAAAAAAAAAAAUAUUUGAUUUCAUGUUUUGUGGUUUAGUAACUGUGACAAACCCUUUUUUUCACUGUAGGCUUACCUUACAUAAUUCAAUUACAUACAUUGACUGCUCAAUUGGAAUUACUAUUUGAACACAAUAAGGUUGUGUUUCAUUACACAACUUUAUACAACACAAAACACACACACACACACACACACACACACACACACACACACACACACAUGGCAGGAAGUGUGUUUGCAUAGAGAUAUUUGCAUUGGCUGCACAUGCUUCAGUGGUCAAAGGGUGUUUAUAUCCCUCUGAGUUUAACCCCUCAUGAUUGACAGCUGUCCGUCAUGAAGACUCAACCCUCAGCCAUGGCCUUCAUCUCCAUACUCACCUGGACUCUUGUGCUCGUCACUAAAGAAGCCUAUGGACAAGUGACGGUAACUCAGACUCCAGUUGUGAAAAUGGCUCGACCAGGAGAAACUGUCACUCUCAGCUGUAAAACUAACCCUCAAUUAACUGGCGGCAGUCUGUCCUGGUACCUGCAGACGCCUGGAGAAGCUCCUAAACUCCUCAUACGUUCUAUUAGCACCCAUGUCUCAGGUACGCCUGACAGAUUCAGUGGAGGUGGGACGUCAAAAGGGUCUGACUUCACUCUGACCAUCAGUGGAGUCCAGGCUGAAGAUGCCGGAGAUUACUACUGUCAGAGUUUCCAUAGUUUCUCUCCGUAUGUGUUCACACCGUGUUAG
Non-coding RNA from Alosa alosa (allis shad), 1193 nucleotides. NCBI's taxonomy places the organism in Eukaryota, Metazoa, Chordata, Actinopteri, Clupeiformes, Clupeidae. The record is from the annotation of a RefSeq genome assembly.